AGUGAACGCUGGCGGUAGGCCUAACACAUGCAAGUCGAACGGCAGCACAGUAAUAGCUUGCUCUUACGGGUGGCGAGUGGCGGACGGGUGAGGAAUACAUCGGAAUCUACUUUUUCGUGGGGGAUAACGUAGGGAAACUUACGCUAAUACCGCAUACGACCUACGGGUGAAAGCAGGGGAUCUUCGGACCUUGCGCGAUUGAAUGAGCCGAUGUCGGAUUAGCUAGUUGGCGGGGUAAAGGCCCACCAAGGCGACGAUCCGUAGCUGGUCUGAGAGGAUGGUCAGCCACACUGGAACUGAGACACGGUCCAGACUCCUACGGGAGGCAGCAGUGGGGAAUAUUGGACAAUGGGCGCAAGCCUGAUCCAGCCAUACCGCGUGGGUGAAGAAGGCCUUCGGGUUGUAAAGCCCUUUUGUUGGGAAAGAAAAGCAGCAGGUUAAUACCCCGCUGUUCUGACGGUACCCAAAGAAUAAGCACCGGCUAACUUCGUG
This 492-nucleotide ribosomal RNA is filed under the name uncultured bacterium. RNAcentral's name for it is "partial 16S ribosomal RNA". It matches the Rfam family "Bacterial small subunit ribosomal RNA", at positions 29 to 507 of the family's 1533-position model. The record is from RNAcentral.